Molecule: ribosomal RNA, 253 nt
Filed under: uncultured bacterium
Lineage: Bacteria
Description: partial 16S ribosomal RNA
Rfam family: Bacterial small subunit ribosomal RNA
Source: RNAcentral
UACGUAGGAUGCAAGCGUUGUCCGGAUUUAUUGGGUUUAAAGGGUGCGUAGGCGGCCUAUUAAGUUAGUGGUGAAAACGUUCGGCUUAACAAGAUACCCGCCAUUGAUACUGAUAGACUUGAGUGCGACAGAGGGUGUUGGAAUGUGUGGUGUAGAGGUGAAAUGCUUAGAUAUCACGCAGAACACAAAUUGCGAAGGCAGAUGCCUAUGUCGUAACUGACGCUGAGGCACGAAAGCGUGGGGAGCAAACAGG